GUGGGGAAUCUUAGACAAUGGGCGCAAGCCUGAUCUAGCCAUGCCGCGUGAGCGAUGAAGGCCUUAGGGUUGUAAAGCUCUUUCGUGGGGGAAGAUAAUGACUGUACCCCAAGAAGAAGCCCCGGCUAACUCCGUGCCAGCAGCCGCGGUAAUACGGAGGGGGCUAGCGUUGUUCGGAAUUACUGGGCGUAAAGCGCACGUAGGCGGACCGGAAAGUCAGAGGUGAAAUCCCAGGGCUCAACCUUGGAACUGCCUUUGAAACUCCUGGUCUUGAGGUCGAGAGAGGUGAGUGGAAUUCCGAGUGUAGAGGUGAAAUUCGUAGAUAUUCGGAGGAACACCAGUGGCGAAGGCGGCUCACUGGCUCGAUACUGACGCUGAGGUGCGAAAGCGUGGGGAGCAAACAGGAUUAGAUACCCGAGUAGUCC
This 425-nucleotide ribosomal RNA is filed under the name uncultured bacterium. RNAcentral describes it as "partial 16S ribosomal RNA". It matches the Rfam family "Bacterial small subunit ribosomal RNA", at positions 354 to 796 of the family's 1533-position model. The record is from RNAcentral.